RNAcentral lists this ribosomal RNA (496 nucleotides) under uncultured bacterium. RNAcentral describes it as "partial 16S ribosomal RNA". It matches the Rfam family "Bacterial small subunit ribosomal RNA", at positions 29 to 507 of the family's 1533-position model. The record is from RNAcentral.
AUGAACGCUGGCGGCGUGCCUCAUCCCUGCCGGUCGCGCGAACGGACGAGAAGCUUGCUUCUCUGAUGUUAGCGGCGGACGGGUGAGUAACACGUGGAUAACCUACCUAUAAGACUGGGAUAACUUCGGGAAACCGGAGCUAAUACCGGAUAAUAUUUUGAACCGCAUGGUUCAAAAGUGAAAGACGGUCUUGCUGUCACUUAUAGAUGGAUCCGCGCUGCAUUAGCUAGUUGGUAAGGUAACGGCUUACCAAGGCAACGAUGCAUAGCCGACCUGAGAGGGUGAUCGGCCACACUGGAACUGAGACACGGUCCAGACUCCUACGGGAGGCAGCAGUAGGGAAUCUUCCGCAAUGGGCGAAAGCCUGACGGAGCAACGCCGCGUGAGUGAUGAAGGUCUUCGGAUCGUAAAACUCUGUUAUUAGGGAAGAACAUAUGUGUAAGUAACUGUGCACAUCUUGACGGUACCUAAUCAGAAAGCCACGGCUAACUACGUG